UACGUAGGAGGCAAGCGUUGUCCGGAUUUACUGGGCGUAAAGAGCGUGUAGGCGGUUGAGCAAGUCUGCUGUGAAAUCUCCUGGCUCAACCAGGAAGGGUCAGUGGAAACUGCUUAACUUGAGGACGGUAGAGGGGGGUGGAAUUCCCGGUGUAGUGGUGAAAUGCGUAGAGAUCGGGAGGAACACCAGCGGCGAAGGCGGCCCCCUGGGCCGCUCCUGACGCUGAGACGCGAAGGCCAGGGUAGCGAACGGG
RNAcentral lists this ribosomal RNA (253 nucleotides) under uncultured bacterium. RNAcentral's name for it is "partial 16S ribosomal RNA". It matches the Rfam family "Bacterial small subunit ribosomal RNA", at positions 524 to 776 of the family's 1533-position model. The record is from RNAcentral.